ACUCAUGGCCUGGGGCGGGUCAGACCCGACUCCAAUGGAUUAAAACAAAAUAGCCAGCACAUUGGAAACCCUAAAUCCAAACGAAGCCGCCACCUCCCUUUUUGAACUUCUUCUUCACGAAUGCUCAGGAACAAAAGGCAAUGGAAACUCUUCCAACCAUGGCGCUCACGAUCGGUCUCGCUAGUUUUCAUCUUCUGCUUUAUCUCACACUUCUUCCUCAAACGACCGUGGCUCCUUUAUGAUAACCUUUCUCUCUCGAAAAAAAAUACACGGAAACGACACAAAAAAAAACGACCAACAACCAUAAGUUGGGAACGAGAUUUGGUUUUGGUAACUGUUUGGUAACGAGAUUUGGGAAUGAGAUUUGAUUUUGGUAACUGUUUGGCAACGAGAUUUGACAACGAGAUUUGGGAAUGAGAUUUGGUUUUAGCAACUGUUUGGGAACGAGAUUUGGUAACGAGUUUUGGUUUUGGUAACUGGUUUUAGUGCUACUCUAACAAAAAUGAAACUCUGAGGUGAUAAUAUUGAUGCACUUAUUUAUGAAUGCGGAAAAUAAAAUAGACAGAAACAAAUAAACAAAAGCAAUGAGAACCUUACCUGAAGUGAGAGAUUAAGCGACGAGACCCAAGGAAGAAGGAAUUUGAAAAGUUGAAGGAUGAUGGAUAAGGAAUGGAUGCAGAGGCAUCAAAGUGGUUUGCUAUACUUUUGCCAUUCUAAUGAAACUGUAUUGCUGUAUUUUUCUGCACCUUUGAACUUGUCUUGUUGUGACAAAAACUUUGUUGUACCUUUAAUUACUUUUCUGCAGCAGUACUCUUUAUUUCCUUUUCUUUUCAAGUUUCUUGGUUAUGCCUUAAUUUGCAAAGCAUUUUCUAUUUUCUGUUA
Molecule: long non-coding RNA, 882 nt
Organism: Lathyrus oleraceus (garden pea)
Lineage: Eukaryota; Viridiplantae; Streptophyta; Magnoliopsida; Fabales; Fabaceae
Exons: 2
Source: RefSeq, a predicted model, not a curated record